Molecule: non-coding RNA, 86 nt
Filed under: uncultured Ewingella sp.
Lineage: Bacteria; Pseudomonadati; Pseudomonadota; Gammaproteobacteria; Enterobacterales; Yersiniaceae
Source: RNAcentral
UCUAUGGUGGGCUGGGCGGGGCUGACUUCGGUCAGGCCGGUAUCCUGUAACGCCGGUAUUCCUACCCCCGUCCAGCUCACCACCCA